GCGUUCUCGGAAUCACUGGGCGUAAAGGAUGCGUAGGCGGAUAAUCAAGUCAAAAGUGAAAUCCCACGGCUUAACCGUGGAACUGCUUUCGAAACUGGUUAUCUAGAAUAUGGAAGAGGCAGAUGGAAUUAGUGGUGUAGGGGUAAAAUCCGUAGAGAUCACUAGGAAUACCGAUUGCGAAGGCGAUCUGCUGGGACAUUAUUGACGCUGAGGCAUGAAAGCGUGGGGAGCAAACAGGAUUAGAUACCCUGGUAGUCCACGCCCUAAACGAUGCACACUAGUUGUUGCGACGCUCGUCGUUGCAGUAAUACGGUUAACACAUUAAGUGUGCCGCCUGGGGAGUACGGUCGCAAGAUUAAAACUCAAAGGAAUAGACGGGGACCCGCACAAGCGGUGGAGCAUGUGGUUUAAUUCGAAGAUACGCGAAGAACCUUACCUAGACUUGAAAUCCUUAGAAUCCUGUAGAGAUACGGGAGUGCUAGUUUACUAGAACUAAGUGACAGGUGCUGCACGGCUGUCGUCAGCUCGUGUCGUGAGAUGUUGGGUUAAGUCCCGCAACGAGCGCAACCCUCGUGAUUAGUUGCUAACAGUUCGGCUGA
RNAcentral lists this ribosomal RNA (599 nucleotides) under uncultured bacterium. RNAcentral's name for it is "bacterial SSU rRNA". It matches the Rfam family "Bacterial small subunit ribosomal RNA", at positions 538 to 1134 of the family's 1533-position model. The record is from RNAcentral.